This 498-nucleotide ribosomal RNA is filed under the name uncultured bacterium. RNAcentral describes it as "partial 16S ribosomal RNA". It matches the Rfam family "Bacterial small subunit ribosomal RNA", at positions 30 to 523 of the family's 1533-position model. The record is from RNAcentral.
AUUGAACGCUGGCGGCAUGCCUUACACAUGCAAGUCGAACGGGCUUUGGGGCUUGCUCUAAAGUUAGUGGCGAACGGGUGAGCAAUAUAUCGGAACGUACCCUAGAGUGGGGGAUAACUAGUCGAAAGACUGGCUAAUACCGCAUACGAUCUAAGGAUGAGAGUGGUGGACCGCAAGGCACAAUGCUCAUUUCGCGGCUGAUACCUGAUUAGCUAGUUGGUAGGGUAAAAGCCUACCAAGGCGACGAUCAGUAGCUGGUCUGAGAGGACGAUCAGCCACACUGGGACUGAGACACGGCCCAGACUCCUACGGGAGGCAGCAGUGGGGAAUUUUGGACAAUGGGGGAAACCCUGAUCCAGCAAUGCCGCGUGAGUGAAGAAGGCCUUCGGGUUGUAAAGCUCUUUUGUCAGGGAAGAAACGGUGGGGGCUAAUAUCCUCUGCUAAUGACGGUACCUGAAGAAUAAGCACCGGCUAACUACGUGCCAGCAGCCGCGGUAA